RNAcentral lists this non-coding RNA (73 nucleotides) under bovine gut metagenome. RNAcentral describes it as "TPP riboswitch (THI element)". It matches the Rfam family "TPP riboswitch aptamer (THI element)", at positions 8 to 91 of the family's 105-position model. Rfam says of the family: Vitamin B(1) in its active form thiamin pyrophosphate (TPP) is an essential coenzyme that is synthesised by coupling of pyrimidine and thiazole moieties in bacteria. The previously detected thiamin-regulatory element, thi box was extended, resulting in a new, highly conserved RNA secondary structure, the THI element, which is widely distributed in eubacteria and also occurs in some archaea. The record is from RNAcentral.
CAAAGGGGUGCCUGAAAAGGCUGAGAUUAUACCCUUAUAACCUGAUCCGGUCAAUGCCGGCGUAGGGAUUGUU